RNAcentral lists this ribosomal RNA (443 nucleotides) under uncultured bacterium. Its description in RNAcentral is "partial 16S ribosomal RNA". It matches the Rfam family "Bacterial small subunit ribosomal RNA", at positions 338 to 795 of the family's 1533-position model. The record is from RNAcentral.
CCUACGGGAGGCAGCAGUGGGGAAUAUUGGGUAAUGGGCGCAAGCCUGACCCAGCAACGCCGCGUGAAGGAAGAAGGCUUUCGGGUUUGAAACUCCUUUUGUCAGGGACGAAGCAAGUGACGGUACUUGACGAAUAAGCCACGGCUAACUACGUGCCAUCAGCCGCCGUAAUACGUAGGUGGCAAGCGUUAUCCGGAUUUAUUGGGUGUAAAGGGCGUGUAGGCGGGAAUGCAAGUCAGAUGUGAAAACUAUGGGCUCAACCCAUAGCCUGCCUUUGAAACUGUAUUUCUUGAGUGCUGGAGAGGCAAUCGGAAUUCGGGGUGUAGCGGUGAAAUGCGUAGAUAUACGGAGGAACACCAGUGGCGAAGGCGGAUUGCUGGACAGUAACUGACGCUGAGGCGCGAAAGCGUGGGGAGCGAACAGGAUUAGAUACCCCUGUAGUC